GAUGAACGCUGGCGGCGUGCCUAAUACAUGCAAGUAGAACGCUGAAGGAAGGAGCUUGCUCUUUCCGGAUGAGUUGCGAACGGGUGAGUAACGCGUAGGUAACCUGCCUGGUAGCGGGGGAUAACUAUUGGAAACGAUAGCUAAUACCGCAUAACAGUAGAUGUUGCAUGAUAUCUACUUAAAAGGUGCAAUUGCACCACUACCAGAUGGACCUGCGUUGUAUUAGCUAGUUGGUGAGGUAACGGCUCACCAAGGCGACGAUACAUAGCCGACCUGAGAGGCUGAUCGGCCAACCUGGGCCUGGGACACGGCCCAGACUCCUACGGGAGGCAGCAGUAGGGAAUCUUCGGCAAUGGACGGAAGUCUGACCGAGCAACGCCGCGUGAGUGAAGAAGGUUUUCGGAUCGUAAAGCUCUGUUGUAAGAGAAGAACGAGUGUGAGAGUGGAAAGUUCACACUGUGACGGUAUCUUACCAGAAAGGGACGGCUAACUACGUG
RNAcentral lists this ribosomal RNA (497 nucleotides) under uncultured bacterium. RNAcentral's name for it is "partial 16S ribosomal RNA". It matches the Rfam family "Bacterial small subunit ribosomal RNA", at positions 28 to 507 of the family's 1533-position model. The record is from RNAcentral.